Cyprinus carpio carpio is the source of this 2023-nucleotide long non-coding RNA. The record is from Ensembl. NCBI's taxonomy places the organism in Eukaryota, Metazoa, Chordata, Actinopteri, Cypriniformes, Cyprinidae.
UGGAGAAAGAAGACUUAAAAUAUAGCAUAUGUUCACCUGUUAACUAUUCAAACUUGUGUUCAUUCCUAUUGGCAUUCAUGUCAGAGGGUGAAUGUGGACAAAACAACUCUCGACGACAAGGAGAAGCUCUCAGUCUUAUGCUCUUUCCUGAGCAUUGUCAGUUCGUUCCCCAUCCGGUGGCUAUACACUUCAGCGAAUGUGGGUCACGAGGCACACAAUCUUCUCUUUAUUGACAACGAGUAAAUACAGCAUUGAGGAGAGGUUUUAAUGAUCAUCUGAGAUCUCAGACCCACCACAAUGUGCUAUUCAUCUCUAAUGAGGAGUAAGUGUGUCACAGCGCAUUGGCUUGUUGUCUUUGGUCCUCCACGGAGAUAAAUUUAGCAUCCUGUGUUAUGGGUUCAAAACAGCAUAACCCACUGAAAUCCAAGUCUCGCCUUACAUAACAGAAGCCUUUCAGUAAUUUGCUCUCGUUUUUCAGGUUCCCAUUGUGUCCUGACGCAUCCCUGACCCACCAUCCAAACCCAGAGUGUGUCUGUCCCAGAGCUUUCCAAAAGCAGAUGACAUCAACCCCUCUCCUGAUCGACAGUGCAAGCAAGCUCAGAGAUUCCUGGUCUCCUUCUCUGCUUCCAAGUCACCAAGCUUUCUGGGCCCUCUCCAUUUCACCCGGGAUCACACUGAGCCCCCUGGAAUGUGGGAUUAAUGGCCGCUUGGGACAUCCGAGACGCUUCCAGCUCCGCACAGCACAGUCCUCUUAUCAAUAAUACCUGAUCAUCGUGAUGUCAGUGGCCAGGGGCACAUUAGCAAGUAGAUCAGAGAAAUCGCUGAUUAAAAAUUCACCCCCGAGCCAAAGAUGCAGCCUUUCGUUUCAUAGAGGGACUCAAAGCAACACUAGUCCAAAAUUAUGAUGGACUGAUUGGAUUAGCAAGCUAAGCAAAACAGAAAUUGAUGCAUUUCAACAUGAUAGCUCACAUUUUAACAGACCGUCACUGCCAAGAAGGAAUUAAUAAGCACUCUUGUUGACAGCCUCAUGCAAUCUGUGAGCAAGGCUGGCAUUUUCCAGCAACACAGUGACUGAACGCAAGACAUAAAUUACAGCAUGAUUAAAGACCCUCCUGAGAGAUGUUUAUGUAUUUUAUGCAUGGUUUUGGUCUGCUUCAUCCCCGUUUAUGCGGAUGUGAUUGCCUUUAAUUAUUGAGAGGCAUCUGAUAAUGCCAGAUGACUGCACCUCUUCUUUUAAAUUAUGAUGUAGACGUCACGUUGAAAGUGCAUUAAAAUAAAUAUAGGCUAUCUUUUCAUUCAGUAAUAGCACAUUUCAGGCUGCCGCAGUGCACUCUCUCUCUCUCCCUCUUUGAGACACGCUUUUAGGCAUCUCAGAAGUACAAAAUAUACGGGUAAACCAUCAGUACUCUUUUCGGCGCUCCAGUCGUCUGUGGUGACACGCGUCAUUACGAGGUUGCAGUCUGUGAACGCAUGCUGAUUGGUGGAUACCGAGGGUGUGUGCGCAUCAUGGACUGGCUUUCUUACAGACUCUGAUUCAGUCUAUGCUGUGAGGUAGGCACAUCCUAAACCACCGCACCAAAAAGGUAAAGCAACACACAGAGUCUCGCCAGAAUGCAAUAAAGCAGAGUACGGGCACGUUAUGCAUCCCUUGAAGCCACAGAAGCAUUCGUUCUUUCAUUUCCUGGAAAGCAAAGCUUAGAGAACUGAAAUACCAGAUUUUAAUUUAUAGGCUUUCUGUUGUAAAUAAUCUUGCCAAUAGCAUUUGAAGUGCCUAUAAAAAAGCUUUGACAGUCUAACUAUGUUUUAUUCUCCUCUCACCACGAGAGUGUGUUGACCAAAUAUUUGUCUGCAGCUUCAGCGCUGUUCAUCUAUUUUUCGCCUACGGGUGGCCGCACAAGAAAUUCUCAAUUCUCAGUAUGGCAAGCUGUUGUAACAUUUAUUGCUUAAAAUUAAGUAAUAUAUAUAUAUAUAUAUAUAUAUAUAUAUAUAUAUAUAUAUACAUAUAUACAUAUAUAUACAUAUA